RNAcentral lists this ribosomal RNA (717 nucleotides) under Triticum aestivum (bread wheat). RNAcentral describes it as "partial small subunit ribosomal RNA". Lineage: Eukaryota; Viridiplantae; Streptophyta; Magnoliopsida; Poales; Poaceae. The record is from RNAcentral.
AUGUUGAGAGCAUGUGUAAUGAACUUUGGAGAAACAUGGGAUAAGCAUCUGCACCUAGCAGAAUUUGCUUACAAUAAUAGUUAUCAAUCCAGCAUACAAAUGGCUCCAUAUGAGGCAUUGUAUGGGAGGAAAUGCAGAUCACCUAUAUGCUGGUAUGAAGUUGGAGAGAGACCAUUACUUGGUCCUGACAUAGUGAGAGAGAAUGAUGAGAAGAUCCAACUAAUCAAAGAACGACUCCAGAUUGCACAAAAUAGGCAGAAGAACUAUGCUGACCGGAAUAGGAGGGUUAUGCAAUUGGCAGUAGGAGACUUGGUUUAUCUAAAAGUAUCACCUAUGAGAGGGGUUCGACGCUUUGGAAUCAAAGGAAAGUUGAGUCCUAGAUAUGUUGGGCCAUUUAAAAUUUUGGAGGAGAAGGGAACAUCUGCUUAUAAGUUGGAGUUACCAGAACAUUUAUCAAGAAUUCACAAUGUCUUCCACAUAUCUCAACUUAAGAAAUGCAACAAGCCACCACCACAAGUAUCAGACUUGGAGAUUGAAUUACAACCAGACCUGACGUAUGAAGAACGACCAUUGAAGAUCUUAGAAGUUGAAGACCGCAAGCUCAGGACAAGGACCAUUCGGUUCUGCAAAGUGCAAUGGAAGAACCACUCAGUUCGUGAGGCGACUUGGGAGAAGGAGGAAGACCUACGAGUAACCUACCCCAACCUUUUUAAGUAA